AUUGAACGCUGGCGGCAGGCUUAACACAUGCAAGUCGAGCGGGGUGAUGGUGCUUGCACUAUCACUUAGCGGCGGACGGGUGAGUAAUGCUUAGGAAUCUGCCUAUUAGCGGGGGACAACAUCUCGAAAGGGAUGCUAAUACCGCAUACGUCCUACGGGAGAAAGCAGGGGAUCACUUGUGACCUUGCGCUAAUAGAUGAGCCUAAGUCGGAUUAGCUAGUUGGUGGGGUAAAGGCAUACCAAGGCGACGAUCUGUAGCGGGUCUGAGAGGAUGAUCCGCCAGACUGGGACGGAGACACGGCCCAGACUCCUACGGGAGGGAGCAGUGGGGAAUAUUGGACAAUGGGGGGAACCCUGAUCCAGCCAUGCCGCGUGUGUGAAGAAGGCCUUAUGGUUGUAAAGCACUUUAAGCGAGGAGGAGGCUCUUUUGGUUAAUACCCAAGAUGAGUGGACGUUACUCGCAGAAUAAGCACCGGCUAACUCUGUGCCAGCAGCCGCAGUAA
Molecule: ribosomal RNA, 503 nt
Filed under: uncultured bacterium
Lineage: Bacteria
Description: partial 16S ribosomal RNA
Rfam family: Bacterial small subunit ribosomal RNA
Source: RNAcentral